RNAcentral lists this ribosomal RNA (404 nucleotides) under Brucella melitensis. Its description in RNAcentral is "partial 16S ribosomal RNA". It matches the Rfam family "Bacterial small subunit ribosomal RNA", at positions 355 to 776 of the family's 1533-position model. RNAcentral also lists the same sequence under 1 other name. Lineage: Bacteria; Pseudomonadati; Pseudomonadota; Alphaproteobacteria; Hyphomicrobiales; Brucellaceae. The record is from RNAcentral.
UGGGGAAUAUUGGACAAUGGGCGCAAGCCUGAUCCAGCCAUGCCGCGUGAGUGAUGAAGGCCCUAGGGUUGUAAAGCUCUUUCACCGGUGAAGAUAAUGACGGUAACCGGAGAAGAAGCCCCGGCUAACUUCGUGCCAGCAGCCGCGGUAAUACGAAGGGGGCAAGCGUUGUUCGGAUUUACUGGGCGUAAAGCGCACGUAGGCGGACUUUUAAGUCAGGGGUGAAAUCCCGGGGCUCAACCCCGGAACUGCCUUUGAUACUGGAAGUCUUGAGUAUGGUAGAGGUGAGUGGAAUUCCGAGUGUAGAGGUGAAAUUCGUAGAUAUUCGGAGGAACACCAGUGGCGAAGGCGGCUCACUGGACCAUUACUGACGCUGAGGUGCGAAAGCGUGGGGAGCAAACAGG